UGCGAAAUGGUGUAACGGUAGCACAGCAGACUCUGACUCUGUUUGUCUGGGUUCGAAUCCUAGUUUCGCAACCA
Molecule: transfer RNA, 74 nt
Filed under: Oscillospiraceae bacterium
Lineage: Bacteria; Bacillati; Bacillota; Clostridia; Eubacteriales; Oscillospiraceae
Description: tRNA-Gln
Rfam family: tRNA
About the family: Transfer RNA (tRNA) molecules are approximately 80 nucleotides in length. Their secondary structure includes four short double-helical elements and three loops (D, anti-codon, and T loops).
Source: RNAcentral